AGCUUUGCGCAGCGGCGAUAUCGUAACCAACCACGUUCUACCGAGGUGCGAUUAUUUUUAGUUGAAAACUUUUGCCAAUAUCCCGCUUUGACAAUUUAAAACAUUAGAGCCACAUAUGCAGGCUGACUGGCCGACAAUGUCGAAAUUAAUCGAAACAUUUAUAUUCAACAAUUAGUUGU
Bombus terrestris (buff-tailed bumblebee) is the source of this 179-nucleotide small nuclear RNA. RefSeq annotates it as U4 spliceosomal RNA. Lineage: Eukaryota; Metazoa; Arthropoda; Insecta; Hymenoptera; Apidae. The transcript has a single exon. The record is from RefSeq and is a predicted model, not a curated record.